CGUAGGGGGCAAGCGUUGUCCGGAUUUAUUGGGCGUAAAGCGCUCGCAGGUGGUCCGAUGCGCCGUGCGUGAAAGACCCUGGCUCAACUGGGGGGUGUCGUGCGAUACGGUCGGACUGGAGGCCAGUAGGGGGAUGCGGAAUUCCGGGUGUAGUGGUGGAAUGCGUAGAGAUCCGGAGGAACACCAGCGGCGAAGGCGGCAUCCUGGACUGGUCCUGACACUCAUGAGCGAAAGCGUGGGGAGCGAUCCGGAUUAGAUACCCGGGUAGUCCACGCUGUAAACGAUGCGUACUAGGUGUCGGGGGUAUCGACCCCCUCGGUGCCGCAGCUAACGCGAUAAGUACGCCGCCUGGGGACUACGGCCGCAAGGCUA
Molecule: ribosomal RNA, 372 nt
Filed under: uncultured organism
Description: bacterial SSU rRNA
Rfam family: Bacterial small subunit ribosomal RNA
Source: RNAcentral